Molecule: ribosomal RNA, 253 nt
Filed under: uncultured bacterium
Lineage: Bacteria
Description: partial 16S ribosomal RNA
Rfam family: Bacterial small subunit ribosomal RNA
Source: RNAcentral
GACGAAGGAUGCAAGCGUUAUCCGGAUUCAUUGGGUUUAAAGGGAGCGUAGGUGGCCUUAUAAGUCAGUUGUGAAAUCUCGCAGCUUAACUGCGAAAUUGCCAUUGAUACUGUAGGGCUUGAGUACAGUUGCCGUUGGCGGAAUAUGACAUGUAGUGGUGAAAUACAUAGAGAUGUCAUAGAACACCGAUUGCGAAGGCAGCUAACGAAACUGUAACUGACACUGAGGCUCGAAAGUGCGGGGAUCAAACAGG